CAGCCGCCGCGGUAAUACCGGCGGCCCGAGUGGCGGUCACUAUUAUUGGGCUUAAAGCGUCCGUAGCCGGGUUGGUUAGUCUCCCGGGAAAUCUGGCCGCUUAACGGUCAGAAUUCCGGGAGAUACUGCCAGCCUAGGGACCGGGAGAGGCCGAGGGGAUUCCCGGAGUAGGGGUGAAAUCCUAUAAUCCCGGGAGGACCACCUGUGGCGAAGGCGCUCGGCUGGAACGGGUCCGACGGUGAGGGACGAAGGCCAGGGGAGCAAACCGGAUUAGAUACCCGGGUAGUCCUGGCUGUAAACGAUGCGGACUUUGUGUCGGACAAGCUAUGAGCUUGUCCGGUGCCGGAGGGAAACCGUUAAGUCCGCCGCCUGGGGAGUACGGCCGCAAGGCUGAAACUUAAAGGAAUUGGCAGG
This 414-nucleotide ribosomal RNA is filed under the name uncultured microorganism. RNAcentral's name for it is "bacterial SSU rRNA". It matches the Rfam family "Archaeal small subunit ribosomal RNA", at positions 459 to 872 of the family's 1478-position model. The record is from RNAcentral.